Molecule: ribosomal RNA, 1152 nt
Filed under: Leucobacter chromiiresistens
Lineage: Bacteria; Bacillati; Actinomycetota; Actinomycetes; Micrococcales; Microbacteriaceae
Description: bacterial SSU rRNA
Rfam family: Bacterial small subunit ribosomal RNA
Source: RNAcentral
ACACAUGCAGUCGAACGCUGAAGCUCCCAGCUUGCUGGGGGUGGAUGAGUGGCGAACGGGUGAGUAACACGUGAGUAACCUGCCCCGAACUCUGGGAUAAGCGCUGGAAACGGCGUCUAAUACUGGAUAUGUCCUAUCACCGCAUGGUGUGUAGGUGGAAAGAAUUUCGGUUCGGGAUGGACUCGCGGCCUAUCAGCUAGAUGGUGAGGUAAUGGCUCACCAUGGCGACGACGGGUAGCCGGCCUGAGAGGGUGACCGGCCACACUGGGACUGAGACACGGCCCAGACUCCUACGGGAGGCAGCAGUGGGGAAUAUUGCACAAUGGGCGCAAGCCUGAUGCAGCAACGCCGCGUGAGGGAUGACGGCCUUCGGGUUGUAAACCUCUUUUAGUAGGGAAGAAGCGCAAGUGACGGUACCUGCAGAAAAAGCACCGGCUAACUACGUGCCAGCAGCCGCGGUAAUACGUAGGGUGCAAGCGUUGUCCGGAAUUAUUGGGCGUAAAGAGCUCGUAGGCGGCUUGUCGCGUCUGCUGUGAAAACCAGAGGCUCAACCUCUGGCCUGCAGUGGGUACGGGCAAGCUAGAGUGCGGUAGGGGGAGAUUGGAAUUCCUGGUGUAGCGGUGGAAUGCGCAGAUAUCAGGAGGAACACCGAUGGCGAAGGCAGAUCUCUGGGCCGUAACUGACGCUGAGGAGCGAAAGCAUGGGGAGCGAACAGGAUUAGAUACCCUGGUAGUCCAUGCCGUAAACGUUGGGAACUAGAUGUAGGGCCUGUUCCACGGGUUCUGUGUCGUAGCUAACGCAUUAAGUUCCCCGCCUGGGGAGUACGGCCGCAAGGCUAAAACUCAAAGGAAUUGACGGGGGCCCGCACAAGCGGCGGAGCAUGCGGAUUAAUUCGAUGCAACGCGAAGAACCUUACCAAGGCUUGACAUAUACGAGAACACUGUAGAGAUACAGGACUCUUUGGACACUCGUAAACAGGUGGUGCAUGGUUGUCGUCAGCUCGUGUCGUGAGAUGUUCGGUUAAGUCCGGCAACGAGCGCAACCCUCGUCCUAUGUUGCCACACGUUAUGGUGGGAACUCAUGGGAUACUGCCGUGGUCACCCCGAGGAAAGGUGGGGAUGACGUCAAUCAUCAUGCCCCUAAGUCUUGGGG